CUGAAGCAGUUAGGGUUGUAGCUGACUCUGUCAAAGGAGUACUGUGCUCGCUCUAUUCUUCUACUUUUCCCCCUGUGCACCUUUUGUAGGCUAUGAUAUCCAUCGUGUGUGAGUUCACGCUCAUUACCGGUUCAAGGGAUUGCUGGUUUACUCCGGCUGCUCUUGCCCUUCAUAUGCCUAUGUCUUUAUACACUCUUUACAAGUCUAGAAUGUCUUUUGUGGGUCUAUUGACCUAUAAACUUAAUA
This 246-nucleotide unclassified non-coding RNA is filed under the name uncultured Mycena. Its description in RNAcentral is "sequence contains ITS1". Lineage: Eukaryota; Fungi; Basidiomycota; Agaricomycetes; Agaricales; Tricholomataceae. The record is from RNAcentral.